UCUUGGGAACUGAGCAUAAUACUCCAUAGACCACUACGCCUGGAACAGUGAGUGGUUCAAAGCUUUAGCGGCACAGGAUGGGUCUGCGGCGUAUCAGGUCGUAGGGGGUGUAAUGGACCCCCUAGCCAUCGACGCGUACGGGUUGUGGGAGCAAUAGCCCGGAGACGGAUUCUGAGACACGAAUCCGGACCCUACGGGGUGCAGCAGGCGCGAAAACUUCACACUGCAGGAAACUGUGAUGAGGGAACUCCAAGUGACUGCACAUUGUGUAGCCUUUUCUUGACUGUUAACAAGUCUUGGAAUAAGGGCUGGGAAAGACCGGUGCCAGCCGCCGCGGUAAUACCGGCAGCUCGAGUGGUCGUCGCUUUUAUUGGGCCUAAAACGUCCGUAGCCUGUUCAGUAAACCCGUGGGUAAAUCAACCAGCUUAACUGGUUGAAUUCUGCGGAGACUGCUGGACUAGGGACCGGGAGAGGUAUGAGGUACUCUCAGGGUAGGGGUAAAAUCCUGUCAUCCUGAGAGGACCACCUGUUGCGAAGGCGUCAUACUGGAACGGAUCCGACGGUCAGGGACGAAGCCUAGGGGCACGAACCGGAUUAGAUACCCGGGUAGUCCUAGGUGUAAACGCUGUGGACUUGGUGUUGGAGAUCCGCAAUGGGUCUUCAGUGCCGCAGCGAAGGUGUUAAGUCCACUGCCUGGGGAGUACGGUCGCAAGGCUGAAACUUA
Molecule: ribosomal RNA, 724 nt
Filed under: uncultured archaeon
Lineage: Archaea
Description: bacterial SSU rRNA
Rfam family: Archaeal small subunit ribosomal RNA
Source: RNAcentral